GGUUGUAGCUCAGUGGUAGAGCACUUGCCUACCAUGCAUAAGGCACUAGGUUCAAUCCUCAGCACCA
Molecule: transfer RNA, 67 nt
Filed under: Marmota monax (woodchuck)
Lineage: Eukaryota; Metazoa; Chordata; Mammalia; Rodentia; Sciuridae
Description: tRNA.Gly
Rfam family: tRNA
About the family: Transfer RNA (tRNA) molecules are approximately 80 nucleotides in length. Their secondary structure includes four short double-helical elements and three loops (D, anti-codon, and T loops). Further hydrogen bonds mediate the characteristic L-shaped molecular structure. tRNAs have two regions of fundamental functional importance: the anti-codon, which is responsible for specific mRNA codon recognition, and the 3' end, to which the tRNAs corresponding amino acid is attached (by aminoacyl-tRNA synthetases). tRNAs cope with the degeneracy of the genetic code in two manners: having more than one tRNA (with a specific anti-codon) for a particular amino acid; and 'wobble' base-pairing, i.e. permitting non-standard base-pairing at the 3rd anti-codon position.
Source: RNAcentral